Molecule: long non-coding RNA, 551 nt
Organism: Cygnus olor (mute swan)
Lineage: Eukaryota; Metazoa; Chordata; Aves; Anseriformes; Anatidae
Exons: 4
Source: RefSeq, a predicted model, not a curated record
GUGAUAAUCAGUACUCAUUGCUGUGGGAGGCAGGGACCUGGUUUCCAAAGUUUGCAGAAAUGCACUGAAGAAUACGUGAUCACACAGUGGAGAUUCUCUCCCUCCUGAGGUAUGAGCGUGCCAGUCUCAUAAAUCUCACUUUGAGUAUUUAGAGAAAGAUCUUUCAGCUCCAAAGGAAGUGCUGCAACUGCUGAACGUUUAAGCACAGAUGAACUAUAGCCACUCUCAUUCAUCACUCAGCCCAAGAGUGCUGCAUGUGUAUAAAGAUUGGCCUAGAAAGCUGGAGCUGAACAACGACGAUGGGUAUAUGUCCCAAGACUGUUAAUUCCAAGAGUGCUAUGAUGGGGGAAGCAUCUACUUCUCUUAAUUCUGUUAUACUAAGGACCUACAUGAUUUCAGGCCAUCUCCAUAUGCCUCAAGCUUGAUCCUUGUACUCUUCCAUUAUUCAUUUUUUUUCUAUCUUCAGAGUGCCGAAUUAAAAUAUUUUCUUCAAUAAAUUAAAAUAAUUUCUUCAAUCUUGUACUUCAACAUACCUAGUCUAGCUCCAGUAA